UUAAAUAGGUACCUAUUAUUUUGACAAAAUGACACAUAGAUUUUUUUUAAUAUUUUUCUGAUAACCAGCAUAACUUGCCUCAACACCCAGUUCCGGCUUGACGUUGCAUUACGGGACACCCUGUAUAAAGAUGAAAAUUAAUCUGAGUCAAAACGUUAGUUUAACAAAAAAAAAAAUAACUUGAAAGUAGCAACCCUGGUUGUUCGUUUCAGCAAAUAAUAGAUAGACUCACAGCAACAGUAUUAGGAUACAGGCUGGAUGCGCUGUUUGGAUAAUUAUCGUACCGAUUCAUUCCCCCGUCCAAAGGAAGCAAACCUUUACUCAUGAUGAACGGGUUCACAUAUUCACAGCAAGGCCAUACCCUGAACUACUACUGUUCAAAGAAAGACUCCGGUUGUAGAGCGAGAAUAAAACUAACUGCAGAAGGAGCAAUAAAAGAAGCCAUUUGCAACCACAUUCAUCCUCCUCCAAGAUAUUUAGUGACGAAUACAGGGAAUUAUGUGAAGAUAUAUCCUUAGCAACAUUAGCAGCGAUUUGUAGACAAUAUAAUUUAAAAGUACUUAGAACGAUAACUCAAAUUAAAACGUUUUGUCACGAAAAAUACGCAGCAUUACAUACAGCAUCAGUAUUCUGCCUUUAUGCUUUAGUUCAUUAGGUCAAUGUAAAUAAAUUAAUGUGAUUUGAUUAAAUUUUAUUACGUUUUAAAGUUCAUUAUAAUCGAGGCAGUCUUAAGGUUCAUAACCUUCUAUUUUUAGUUACAAUUCUGAAAGAUUUUAUCAUACCUACGUUUCCGGGGAAAAUAUAGGUACAAUUCCGUCAAUAUUAUAACCGUUUUAAAUGUCUUCAGUCAUAAAAAGAUAGUGAAUUAUCUUUCCAGAACCAUUGUACCGGUUCAUUCCCUCGUUCAAAGGAUGCAAACCUUUACUGAUGAUGAACGGGUUCACAUAUUCACAGCGAGAUCAGUCCCUGGACUACUACUGUUCAGAGAAAGACUCCGGUUGUAAAGCGAGGAUAAAACUAACUGCAGAAGGAGCAAUAAAAGAAGCCAUUUGCAACCACAUUCAUCCUCCUCCAAGAUAUUUAGUGACGAAAACAGGAUAUUAUGUGAAGUUGUGAAUUUAAAUAUAUUUUAGCUGUAGGCUGUGCAAAAGUGUUACGUAAGUGUGGAAUCAUUGUACCGGUUCAUUCCCUCGUCGAAAGGCAAACCUUUGCUGAUGAUGAACGGGUUCACAUAUUCACAGCAAGCUCAGUCCCUGAACUACUACUGUUCAAAGAAAAAUAAUGGUUGUAGAGCGAGAAUAAAACUAACUGCAGAAGGAGCGAUAAAAGAAGCCAUUUGCAACCACAUUCAUCCUCCACCAAAAUAUAUAGUGACGAUAACAGGAGAUUAUGUGAAGUUGUGAAGUUACAUACAUUUUAGCUGUGGGCUGUGGCAAAAGUGUUACGUAAUCUACCAGCUAGUCCCAAUAAAGGAGUGAAAGUUGUAAAAAAAUAGCUCCACCUGCGGAAUUACAAAUUGCUACAAGUGACAAAAUUAACUAACCUAAGCCUUGAAAACUGUACGAUGAAGGAAUACAACUGAUUCGUGAUUUUUACCAUGGGGAUCACAUUAGUACAUAAAUGCCCGGCAUGAAAGAUGUGAAAACAGUCAAGUCGAAUGCGGGAAUGAAGUUACGAAUGCGAGAGAACAAUGAUUAAAACAGAAAAGCUUUCGAAAUGUUGAACGAUACUCCUCUUAAUUAUUGACUUGUUAAAAGAAAUAACGAGACACUACUUAAUAAACGUUUCACAAUUUACAGACUUAACAAUCGUACCGGUUCAUUCUCUCGUCCAAAGGCAAACCAUUACUGAUGAUGAACGGGUUCACAUAUUUCCGACAAGCUCAGACCCUAAACUACUACUGUUCAAAGAAAAACAACGGUUGUAGAGCAAGAAUAAAACUAACUGCAGGAGGAUCCAUAAAGGACGCCAUUUGCAACCACAUUCAUCCUCCACCAAAAUAUCUAGUGACGAAAGCAGGGGAUUAUGUGAAGUUGUGAAGUUACAUUCAUUUUGGACCCAUACUCUAUUUCAUUGUGCUCUGACAGGGUAUCGAAGACUUUGCCAACUUUGUUUGGAUACUAAUCCAUAUCCAUAGUUCUGAAAGUAUAUGCUACAGACAAGUGUAGUGUAAAAAUAAAAGAACGUUAUUCAACAAAAUGUUAUUGAAUUCAAAUGAGUUUAACGCAAAAGUUUGAUUAUUUUUAUUUUAAAGAUAUAUAAAAUAUGCUUGUAUCACGAGUGAGCUCACCACAAUAGUCGAGCGGUGGCGGGGACCGAACCCGCGUUCCCCGGAUCACGAGUCGGCCAGUCCGACCCCUUCACCGUUCGGCUAUCGUGGCUUACAAUUACAAUUAUUAUUCUAACUCUAAUCAAUGAUGAAAGAUUCUAACUUCCAGGACAGUGGUACACAAUGAUACAGACUUCUAAAGGAACCCAGCUGCUGAUGAUGAACGGGUUUACUUAUCGCAAGGAUAACAGAAGCAGGAACUAUUACUGCUCGAGGAGGAUGAGAGCGGGAUGCAGGGCUCGCGUGAAGUUGUCCGAAGAAGGGAACGUGUUUCAGGAAAAAUGACAUACAAGUUCAUCCCGUCAAGUAAAGGCAAGCCACUGCUGAUGAUGAACGGGUUUACAUACUCACAAAAUGCAAGCUCUCUGAACUAUUACUGUUCCAAGAAGAAUGCUGGGUGUAAAGCAAAAAUAAAAUUGAAUAAGGAUGGAGCCAUAAAAGAAGCCAAUUGCAGCCAUUUUCAUGCACCGCCAAAAUAUAUUGUGACACAUGAAGGAAAUUAUAUUAAAUUGAGUUAAAAUAACAAAAAACUGGCCAAGUAGGGGAGACUGGGUACGGUUGAAACAAAGGACGGUUGAAACAGAGCAAAUAUCUCGUAAACGGUUCCGCGAGGAGUUAGGGGUUCUAGGGGAAAAAGAAGCUGACAACAGGUCCGAACACGAAUUUAAUGCCUAAAACUUCCUAACGCGUUGACGUUGUGUGCAAAACCCCAUAUUGUUUUUUACUACCCAAAACUAAGUAUUUUUCUUCAGACAUUAACGCUUAUACUACCUGUUCUUUUUAUGUGAAUGUAUCGAGUGUGCGUUUGCGAUUAAAAUGAAGCUUGUAGAAUAAGGUCCAGUAACUAUUUUUAAUGUGUUAUCAUUAGUGUCGAAACUAUAAAGUAUAUUUUACCAAAAGUGGGGUUGGGGACGGUUGAAACAUUUUUUGUGGGUACGGUUGAAACAGAAAAUUUAUUAAUGUUUAUUUUUUGUAGAUACCGAGAGUUUGGGUAAGGAAUAUUUCCAGAGAGGAAAUUGACUUAGUAAAGCAUAAGAGGAGGUAAAAGCUGGAGAUUCACUGCGGAAAGUGGCGGAAAAGGAUAGUUUGAAAACAAAAAAAGAUUUUCGUUAACUUUAUUCAGAAUGGUAAUAUUAUUUUAUUAUUAAUGUUUAUUAGGUUUGGAAAUAUCGUUUAGUUAAUCAUAUUUCUGUUAUUUUUUUAAAUGUUUACUACUUAUCAAAGGCUAAUUAAUGUUUUAGAAAUAUUAAAUACUUAGACUGAUUAAUGUCGUCAUGUGGUACCAUAAUUUUAAUAUUCGUAGUAUUAAUGAUAAAUAAAACACGUUUUAUUAGUACUUUUUGUAUUAUUUGUAUGUAUUUCAACAGAUUCCAAUCGCUGUUUCAACCGCCCCUGGCAUGGGGACGGUUGAAACAAAAUUUCUUUUUUUUUAAAUUUCGUAUAUUUCUAUGAAUAGUAACCCGGGAACUAUAAUGAUACAGCCAUAUCAUAGCUAAAACUUCAAAUUUCAAUUUCACGUAUCAUAAUCGUCACUUGGUUAUUAAACAACAAAAUUAUUGACAAUUAAAGCAAAAUUGUUUCAACCGUACCCAGUCUCCCCUACGUGUCGUGCCACGCGCAGUUCGUAGUUGUCUGUCGUUACCACAAUAUACUUCAAAUUUGGGGCUUCACUCAUUUCUCACAAAAUUACAAGGAUUAAAGUUUUUAAUUUUUAGUUUUCACCUCUUCCUUCAAAAACAAGUGACAGCGUGGGUAGCUUAACACUAAUCUAAUAAGCUAAUAUUUUAUAUCAUGCGAUAGCCAAUAAAAUUAUCUAUUAGUAGAAGUAGAAAACAGACACAAGUUUCUUUAAAAUAAAGGAGUAAGAAUGGAUUUAAUUAGAAAAAUACAUAUUUUUUUCACUUCUUUUUCAGUUAUUUUCUAACACAAUAAA
Molecule: long non-coding RNA, 4262 nt
Organism: Ostrinia nubilalis (European corn borer)
Lineage: Eukaryota; Metazoa; Arthropoda; Insecta; Lepidoptera; Crambidae
Exons: 5
Source: RefSeq, a predicted model, not a curated record